AGAUUAAGCCAUGCAUGUGUAAGUCUAAAUAGUUUUAGUGUGAAACUGCGAAUGGCUCAUUAUAGAAAAGAAAGUUUAUUUGGAAUAAUUUGUAUAUGGAUAACCGUAGUAAUUCUAGGGCUAAUACAUGUGUUUUCUUUGUUGGGUAACCAGUAAAGAAGUACUUAUUAGACAUAAAACCAUUCCCUUAAUGGUGAGUAAUAAUAAUUGUUUGACUUUAUCCCAUGCUUUUUUGUACUAACGAUGUUCCUUUCAAGUUUCUGCCCUAUCACCUUUCGAUGGUAGUGUAUUGGACUACCAUGGCAUUAACGGGUAACGAAAAAUUUGGGUUCCAUUUCCGAAAGGGAACCUGAAAUAUGGCUACCACCUCUCAGGAAGGCAGCAGGCGCGUAAAUUACCCAAUCCUGACCCAGGGAGGUAGUGACCAUAAAUCUCAAUACAAAGCCUUUGGUUUUUUUAUUGAAUUGAAAACAAUGCACAAUCCUUUUCGAUAAACCAUUGGAGGGCAAGUCUGGUGCCACCACCCCGGGUAAUUCACGCUCCUAUAGCGUAUUUUAACGUUGUUGCAUUUAAAAA
RNAcentral lists this ribosomal RNA (576 nucleotides) under Blastocystis sp. RNAcentral's name for it is "SSU rRNA". It matches the Rfam family "Eukaryotic small subunit ribosomal RNA", at positions 41 to 625 of the family's 1831-position model. Lineage: Eukaryota; Bigyra; Opalinata; Blastocystidae. The record is from RNAcentral.